Oreochromis niloticus (Nile tilapia) is the source of this 986-nucleotide long non-coding RNA. RefSeq lists it as uncharacterized. NCBI's taxonomy places the organism in Eukaryota, Metazoa, Chordata, Actinopteri, Cichliformes, Cichlidae. The record is from RefSeq and is a predicted model, not a curated record. The transcript has 2 exons.
UUCAAUUUAUUAAAAAUAUAAUUUUCUGAAGAGGACAGAAAAUCACUGAUGUAAGCCUUAGGUCUGUUUUUGAAGUUAAAUUAAUGUUAGGUUUCCAUUUGAGAAAACCACACAUGACCUCAUGCACACCAACCAACCGACCAGAAGGUGGAUCCGAAAGGGGAACAUUUUCCUUUCCUCACCAUUUUUUAAAAAAACCUUUCCUCUCUGCCAAAGUGAAAUGCGUGUGCUUUUAUUAAUCCACAGGUGGCGCCAUUAAUUCACUUCUUAAUAAACUCCAAAUGUUCGGGGCUGUGUCCAGAUAUAAAAACACAGAAGACAACAUUCCACCAUCAAGGGUGUCAUGGAAAAAAAAAAUAAAUAAAAAAAACUGAGUGGAUGGUUUUGAGUUGUCUUGGCAGAGAUGAAUCACUGAGAUCUGACCUUUAGACUUUGGUGAUAAAAAGCCUGUUUGUCUUUCUCUAUCUUUUAACUGCAAACAAAUAAACAGGAAAAACCAACAUGUCUACGCGAAGAAUCAACGCACCCACAGCCGCCUUUACAUGCAAAGCAAAACCAGCAGUCACAUUUCAUCCCGCGUCCCCGUUCUCUUCGGCUCCUCUGCCAUUCGGUAUAAAAACACAACAGUAAGUUUAAAAAGGGAAAUGUUUAUUAGUGUCAUAACACAAUGAUUACAUCUGACACAUUUGUUAUUUAGAAAAAAAAAAAACAUACAUAAAGCUUCAAUUUGAGAUUCUUUCAGUAAAACGAUUGUUUAUUCUGGGAAAAAAAAAAAAAAGAUUAUUUGCUGAUCUCAGCGCAACAUUCAGACGUCAGAUCCAUUUUGCACCAAUUUUUCUCCCCCUCAGAUUGAUGUCAUCGAAGAAGCACAAGCAUGUGUGAAUGUUUAUGUAUAGCACAUAUAUUAAGCCUAAUGUGAGGAUCUCAAAAAAAAGAAAGAAAAGUCAGUAUCUGUGUGUAGCUGCACUCGGGUCAUAUCAGAAUAA